GGGUUGUGAGGUUAAGCGACUAAGCGUACACGGUGGAUGCCCUGGCAGUCAGAGGCGAUGAAGGACGUGCUAAUCUGCGAUAAGCGUCGGUAAGGUGAUAUGAACCGUUAUAACCGGCGAUUUCCGAAUGGGGAAACCCAGUGUGUUUCGACACACUAUCAUUAACUGAAUCCAUAGGUUAAUGAGGCGAACCGGGGGAACUGAAACAUCUAAGUACCCCGAGGAAAAGAAAUCAACCGAGAUUCCCCCAGUAGCGGCGAGCGAACGGGGAGCAGCCCAGAGCCUGAAUCAGUGUGUGUGUUAGUGGAAGCGUCUGGAAAGGCGUGCGAUACAGGGUGACAGCCCCGUACACAAAAAUGCACAUGCUGUGAGCUCGAUGAGUAGGGCGGGACACGUGGUAUCCUGUCUGAAUAUGGGGGGACCAUCCUCCAAGGCUAAAUACUCCUGACUGACCGAUAGUGAACCAGUACCGUGAGGGAAAGGCGAAAAGAACCCCGGCGAGGGGAGUGAAAAAGAACCUGAAACCGUGUACGUACAAGCAGUGGGAGCACGCUUAGGCGUGUGACUGCGUACCUUUUGUAUAAUGGGUCAGCGACUUAUAUUCUGUAGCAAGGUUAACCGAAUAGGGGAGCCGAAGGGAAACCGAGUCUUAACUGGGCGUUAAGUUGCAGGGUAUAGACCCGAAACCCGGUGAUCUAGCCAUGGGCAGGUUGAAGGUUGGGUAACACUAACUGGAGGACCGAACCGACUAAUGUUGAAAAAUUAGCGGAUGACUUGUGGCUGGGGGUGAAAGGCCAAUCAAACCGGGAGAUAGCUGGUUCUCCCCGAAAGCUAUUUAGGUAGCGCCUCGUGAAUUCAUCUCCGGGGGUAGAGCACUGUUUCGGCAAGGGGGUCAUCCCGACUUACCAACCCGAUGCAAACUGCGAAUACCGGAGAAUGUUAUCACGGGAGACACACGGCGGGUGCUAACGUCCGUCGUGAAGAGGGAAACAACCCAGACCGCCAGCUAAGGUCCCAAAGUCAUGGUUAAGUGGGAAACGAUGUGGGAAGGCCCAGACAGCCAGGAUGUUGGCUUAGAAGCAGCCAUCAUUUAAAGAAAGCGUAAUAGCUCACUGGUCGAGUCGGCCUGCGCGGAAGAUGUAACGGGGCUAAACCAUGCACCGAAGCUGCGGCAGCGACGCUGAUGCGUUGUUGGGUAGGGGAGCGUUCUGUAAGCCUGCGAAGGUGUGCUGUGAGGCAUGCUGGAGGUAUCAGAAGUGCGAAUGCUGACAUAAGUAACGAUAAAGCGGGUGAAAAGCCCGCUCGCCGGAAGACCAAGGGUUCCUGUCCAACGUUAAUCGGGGCAGGGUGAGUCGACCCCUAAGGCGAGGCCGAAAGGCGUAGUCGAUGGGAAACAGGUUAAUAUUCCUGUACUUGGUGUUACUGCGAAGGGGGGACGGAGAAGGCUAUGUUGGCCGGGCGACGGUUGUCCCGGUUUAAGCGUGUAGGCUGGUUUUCCAGGCAAAUCCGGAAAAUCAAGGCUGAGGCGUGAUGACGAGGCACUACGGUGCUGAAGCAACAAAUGCCCUGCUUCCAGGAAAAGCCUCUAAGCAUCAGGUAACAUCAAAUCGUACCCCAAACCGACACAGGUGGUCAGGUAGAGAAUACCAAGGCGCUUGAGAGAACUCGGGUGAAGGAACUAGGCAAAAUGGUGCCGUAACUUCGGGAGAAGGCACGCUGAUAUGUAGGUGAAGCGACUUGCUCGUGGAGCUGAAAUCAGUCGAAGAUACCAGCUGGCUGCAACUGUUUAUUAAAAACACAGCACUGUGCAAACACGAAAGUGGACGUAUACGGUGUGACGCCUGCCCGGUGCCGGAAGGUUAAUUGAUGGGGUCAGCGCAAGCGAAGCUCUUGAUCGAAGCCCCGGUAAACGGCGGCCGUAACUAUAACGGUCCUAAGGUAGCGAAAUUCCUUGUCGGGUAAGUUCCGACCUGCACGAAUGGCGUAAUGAUGGCCAGGCUGUCUCCACCCGAGACUCAGUGAAAUUGAACUCGCUGUGAAGAUGCAGUGUACCCGCGGCAAGACGGAAAGACCCCGUGAACCUUUACUAUAGCUUGACACUGAACAUUGAGCCUUGAUGUGUAGGAUAGGUGGGAGGCUUUGAAGUGUGGACGCCAGUCUGCAUGGAGCCGACCUUGAAAUACCACCCUUUAAUGUUUGAUGUUCUAACGUUGACCCGUGAUCCGGGUUGCGGACAGUGUCUGGUGGGUAGUUUGACUGGGGCGGUCUCCUCCUAAAGAGUAACGGAGGAGCACGAAGGUUGGCUAAUCCUGGUCGGACAUCAGGAGGUUAGUGCAAUGGCAUAAGCCAGCUUGACUGCGAGCGUGACGGCGCGAGCAGGUGCGAAAGCAGGUCAUAGUGAUCCGGUGGUUCUGAAUGGAAGGGCCAUCGCUCAACGGAUAAAAGGUACUCCGGGGAUAACAGGCUGAUACCGCCCAAGAGUUCAUAUCGACGGCGGUGUUUGGCACCUCGAUGUCGGCUCAUCACAUCCUGGGGCUGAAGUAGGUCCCAAGGGUAUGGCUGUUCGCCAUUUAAAGUGGUACGCGAGCUGGGUUUAGAACGUCGUGAGACAGUUCGGUCCCUAUCUGCCGUGGGCGCUGGAGAACUGAGGGGGGCUGCUCCUAGUACGAGAGGACCGGAGUGGACGCAUCACUGGUGUUCGGGUUGUCAUGCCAAUGGCACUGCCCGGUAGCUAAAUGCGGAAGAGAUAAGUGCUGAAAGCAUCUAAGCACGAAACUUGCCCCGAGAUGAGUUCUCCCUGACUCCUUGAGAGUCCUGAAGGAACGUUGAAGACGACGACGUUGAUAGGCCGGGUGUGUAAGCGCAGCGAUGCGUUGAGCUAACCGGUACUAAUGAACCGUGAGGCUUAACCUUACAACGCCGAAG
Molecule: ribosomal RNA, 2925 nt
Filed under: Escherichia coli
Lineage: Bacteria; Pseudomonadati; Pseudomonadota; Gammaproteobacteria; Enterobacterales; Enterobacteriaceae
Description: bacterial LSU rRNA
Rfam family: Bacterial large subunit ribosomal RNA
Source: RNAcentral